UCGAUUUGUUAGAAUCAGGGGUUUGAAAGUCAGGAAGAAAGGCAAGCGAUUCAAGGCCAGUUCGGGAAGCCAGUCGGAACAAAACAAUGCAGCAGAAAGAUCUCCAGCAAGAAUGCUACCAACUAACCACCAUUUUUGAACUGACAAAUUUUCUUUGAUUAAAACAGGGGCAAAAAAGUUCAUUUGUUUCAGAGGAACCCUCCGUGGAGAAAGGCAGUCAACAAACAGGUUCGAUUUUUUAUUUUCAGGACCCUCCUGGAAAAUGGGACCUAGUUUAAAGUUCAAAAAUAGCAUAAUCUAGCAUAAAUGUAUCCUAAAGGAGUACAAGUUGGCUUAGAAGUGUGCAUGUUCGAAACAAGAUUCAAUUAGGAGUUUCCAGGACCCUCCUGAAUAAUGGGACUUAGCUUUAAGAUUUCAAUUAGAUAACAACAUUUAGCGUAACCUCUGUUGUAGGGUAGUAUAAUUCAGACAUGAAAGUUGUCACCCUUAAGAUAAAAUUUGACCUUUGAUUUUCAGGACCCUCCUGGAUAAUGGGGAGUAGUUUAAAGAUCCUCUUAGAUAGCAAGAUUUAGCAGAAGUCACACCUGUAGAAGAUAUAACUUAGAUUUUAAACCGUCGUUUAGUCAAGAGUUGUCAGGACCCCCUGAAUAAUGGGACCUAGCUUUCAAAUCCUUGGUAAUACUUGGUAAUAUGGUUUAGUUUUACAAUCACAUCUGUCCUCAGCCACCAAACUGGGGCAG
Molecule: long non-coding RNA, 740 nt
Filed under: Nicotiana tabacum (common tobacco)
Lineage: Eukaryota; Viridiplantae; Streptophyta; Magnoliopsida; Solanales; Solanaceae
Description: long non-coding RNA (NTAB_LNC013980)
Source: RNAcentral